Molecule: ribosomal RNA, 530 nt
Filed under: Salmonella enterica
Lineage: Bacteria; Pseudomonadati; Pseudomonadota; Gammaproteobacteria; Enterobacterales; Enterobacteriaceae
Description: bacterial SSU rRNA
Rfam family: Bacterial small subunit ribosomal RNA
Source: RNAcentral
AAAUUGAAGAGUUUGAUCAUGGCUCAGAUUGAACGCUGGCGGCAGGCCUAACACAUGCAAGUCGAACGGUAGCACAGAGAGCUUGCUCUCGGGUGACGAGUGGCGGACGGGUGAGUAAUGUCUGGGAAACUGCCUGAUGGAGGGGGAUAACUACUGGAAACGGUGGCUAAUACCGCAUAACGUCGCAAGACCAAAGAGGGGGACCUUCGGGCCUCUUGCCAUCAGAUGUGCCCAGAUGGGAUUAGCUAGUUGGUGAGGUAACGGCUCACCAAGGCGACGAUCCCUAGCUGGUCUGAGAGGAUGACCAGCCACACUGGAACUGAGACACGGUCCAGACUCCUACGGGAGGCAGCAGUGGGGAAUAUUGCACAAUGGGCGCAAGCCUGAUGCAGCCAUGCCGCGUGUAUGAAGAAGGCCUUCGGGUUGUAAAGUACUUUCAGCGGGGAGGAAGGUGUUGUGGUUAAUAACCGCAGCAAUUGACGUUACCCGCAGAAGAAGCACCGGCUAACUCCGUGCCAGCAGCCGCGGUA